RNAcentral lists this ribosomal RNA (253 nucleotides) under uncultured bacterium. RNAcentral describes it as "partial 16S ribosomal RNA". It matches the Rfam family "Bacterial small subunit ribosomal RNA", at positions 524 to 776 of the family's 1533-position model. The record is from RNAcentral.
UACGUAGGGUGCAAGCGUUAAUCGGAAUUACUGGGCGUAAAGCGUGCGCAGGCGGCUUUGCAAGACAGAUGUGAAAUCCCCGGGCUUAACCUGGGAACUGCAUUUGUGACUGCAUGGCUAGAGUGCGGCAAAGGGGGAUGGAAUUCCGCGUGUAGCAGUGAAAUGCGUAGAUAUGCGGAGGAACACCGAUGGCGAAGGCAAUCCCCUGGGCCUGCACUGACGCUCAUGCACGAAAGCGUGGGGAGCAAACAGG